UCCCUGGCAGCCCAGUGGUUAGGACUGAGCAUUUUCAGUGCUAUGCCCUGGGUUCAAUUCCUGGUUGGGGAA
Molecule: transfer RNA, 72 nt
Filed under: Capra hircus (goat)
Lineage: Eukaryota; Metazoa; Chordata; Mammalia; Artiodactyla; Bovidae
Also listed under: 1 other name
Rfam family: tRNA
About the family: Transfer RNA (tRNA) molecules are approximately 80 nucleotides in length. Their secondary structure includes four short double-helical elements and three loops (D, anti-codon, and T loops).
Source: Rfam by way of RNAcentral